CGCACGGGUGAGUAACGCGUAUCCAACCUGCCCUUCACCACGGGAUAACCCGGCGAAAGUCGGACUAAUACCGUAUGUUGUCCAUUGACGGCAUCCGAUUUGGACGAAAGGCUUGGCGGUGAGGGAUGGGGAUGCGUCCGAUUAGCCAGACGGCGGGGUAACGGCCCACCGUGGCGACGAUCGGUAGGGGUUCUGAGAGGAAGGUCCCCCACACUGGAACUGAGACACGGUCCAGACUCCUACGGGAGGCAGCAGUGAGGAAUAUUGGUCAAUGGGCGUAAGCCUGAACCAGCCAAGUAGCGUGCAGGACGACGGCCCUAUGGGUUGUAAACUGCUUUUAUGCGGGGAUAAAGUGGCCCACGUGUGGGUUUUUGCAGGUACCGCAUGAAUAAGGACCGGCUAAUUCCGUGCCAGCAGCCGCGGUAAUACGGAAGGUCCGGGCGUUAUCCGGAUUUAUUGGGUUUAAAGGGAGCGUAGGCCGCGCCUUAAGCGUGUUGUGAAAUCCGGGUGCUCAACAUCCGGCUUGCAGCGCGAACUGGGGCGCUUGAGUGCGCAGAAAGUAGGCGGAAUUCGUGGUGUAGCGGUGAAAUGCUUAGAUAUCACGAGGAACUCCGAUUGCGAAGGCAGCCUACUGUAGCGCUACUGACGCUGAUGCUCGAAAGCGUGGGUAUCGAACAGGAUUAGAUACCCUGGUAGUCCACGCGGUAAACGAUGGAUGCUCGUUGUCGGCCCUUUGGGUCGGUGACCAAGCGAAAGCGUUAAGCAUCCCACCUGGGGAGUACGCCGGCAACGGUGAAACUCAAAGGAAUUGACGGC
Molecule: ribosomal RNA, 816 nt
Filed under: uncultured bacterium
Lineage: Bacteria
Description: bacterial SSU rRNA
Rfam family: Bacterial small subunit ribosomal RNA
Source: RNAcentral